CCACUCUCUUAGUCCUGACCCUCAUUGUUCUCCCCACACAGCCUCCUAAUUGGUCUCCUUGCCUCUAGCUUUAAGCCGCUAUUUCGUGGGUACGUUACUGCUGGGCAGAAUAUGAAAACCGGUCAUUGGAGGGCCAGAAUCACUGCAGACUUGUUUAUUCUUGGAUGUAACAGACACCAACUGAAGCUCGCAGUGACUUUUCCUUAACUGAGAACAGCAAGGACUCAGCGAGAUGGAACUCCAGGGCUGUGCCUGUUUUACACGACCCUGUUCCAUGCAUAUCUGACAGAUCCAGAGGAGAAUGAACCCAGGGUGGAUUGAUCAAGACUUCACCUCUCUAUCCACAAUCGAUCACCCCAGGAGCCAGAAGAUAAAGAGAGAUGCUUGCUGCACAACAGUGGUUCAGAAGUGUUUUAAUGAACUAAGAAGAGAUAUACAAUUUGCAAAAGAAAACAACAACAGAGCAAAAACCAUACGGAUGUCUCUCUGCUUGGGCUCUCAUCUUGCCACCUUUCUACUGAACUUAUAUUUUGCCCUCAAGUUAAGUCUUUUCAAUGAUCAUAGCUUAACUCAAUUGCUAAUUAGCUCUUGUCUCCAAAUUGUAUUGUUUUCAACUAAUCUGAAAGAUGAAGAAAAGUUGUCUCCAUACAUCUCUUCAGGUUGGUAUUCCAUGUAA
This 676-nucleotide long non-coding RNA is filed under the name Rhinopithecus bieti (black snub-nosed monkey). RNAcentral's name for it is "lncRNA (ENSRBIG00000046587.1)". The record is from RNAcentral. Lineage: Eukaryota; Metazoa; Chordata; Mammalia; Primates; Cercopithecidae.